RNAcentral lists this ribosomal RNA (430 nucleotides) under Pseudomonadota bacterium. RNAcentral's name for it is "Proteobacteria bacterium partial 16S ribosomal RNA". It matches the Rfam family "Bacterial small subunit ribosomal RNA", at positions 355 to 776 of the family's 1533-position model. The record is from RNAcentral. Lineage: Bacteria; Pseudomonadati; Pseudomonadota.
UGGGGAAUAUUGGACAAUGGGCGAAAGCCUGAUCCAGCCAUGCCGCGUGUGUGAAGAAGGCCUUAUGGUUGUAAAGCACUUUAAGCGAGGAGGAGGGUACUGGUAUUAAUACUACCAGGUACUGGACGUUACUCGCAGAAUAAGCACCGGCUAACUCUGUGCCAGCAGCCGCGGUAAUACAGAGGGUGCGAGCGUUAAUCGGAUUUACUGGGCGUAAAGCGUGCGUAGGCGGCUAAUUGAGUCGGAUGUGAAAUCCCCGAGCUUAACUUGGGAAGUGCAUUCGAUACUGGUUAGCUAGAGUGUGGGAGAGGAUGGUAGAAUUCCAGGUGUAGCGGUGAAAUGCGUAGAGAUCUGGAGGAAUACCGAUGGCGAAGGCAGCCAUCUGGCCUAACACUGACGCUGAGGUACGAAAGCAUGGGGAGCAAACAGG